Molecule: unclassified non-coding RNA, 1933 nt
Filed under: Pectinophora gossypiella (pink bollworm)
Lineage: Eukaryota; Metazoa; Arthropoda; Insecta; Lepidoptera; Gelechiidae
Description: uncharacterized LOC126366077
Source: RNAcentral
UCGUGACGAUGAGUCACGAUUCUAAAUAUGGAAUGUCACAAGUAGCAACACCGAAACGGAAGCCCGCUAAUUUUUCUAUCAGUAAGUGAAUCUUGUCUAUGUCUUAAAUCUUGUCUUGACAAGCUAGUUUUCUAAGAAAGUAGUUAAAGUGAGUUUAACUUUUAUAUGAGUGAAAAAGUGCAGAAAGUCCCGCUGAUGCUGUUACUAAAGCUACGUAGUGGUGAUAUAACUCCCUUUUAUUAAUUUGACUAUAAUUUUACUAACGAUGAUGCCAAAUUCUGUUUAAUAACUUGUGUUUAAAAUGGCCGGCCGGCAAUGCGACUUGUAAAGAUAGAUGAGUACUCUUUAGGGGGCAUCAAUAAGUAAUGCCCACAAUUGAAGACGUUGUCUGUAUGCAUAGCUUGCAAUUGUAGAAGCCUUCCUUGGCUACCGUUGUCCAAAUGAGUAGCCCGCAAUCGUAGAAGUAUUUCCUGGCCAGGUUGCAUCUAAGAGUAUGGUGCACUGUUAUGAGAGGCUUUCUUGGUCAUGUAAGUGCUGGCGUGCACACUGUUAUGAGAGGCUUUCUUGGCCACGUAAGUGCUGGCGUGCACACUGUUAUGAGAGGCUUUCUUGGCCAUGUAAGUGCUGGCGUGCACACUGUUAUGAGAGGCUUUCUUGGCCACGUAAGUGCUGGCGUGCACACUGUUAUGAGAGGCUUUCUUGGCCAUGUAAGUGCUGGCGUGCACACUGUUAUGAGAGGCUUUCUUGGCCAUGUAAGUGCUGGCGUGCACACUGUUAUGAGAGGCUUUCUUGGCCACGUAAGUGCUGGCGUGCACACUGUUAUGAGAGGCUUUCUUGGCCAUGUAAGUGCUGGCGUGCACACUGUUAUGAGAGGCUUUCUUGGCCAUGUAAGUGCUGGCGUGCACACUGUUAUGAGAGGCUUUCUUGGCCAUGUAAGUGCUGGCGUGCACACUGUUAUGAGAGGCUUUCUUGGCCACGUAAGUGCUGGCGUGCACACUGUUAUGAGAGGCUUUCUUGGCCAUGUAAGUGCUGGCGUGCACACUGUUAUGAGAGGCUUUCUUGGCCAUGUAAGUGCUGGCGUGCACACUGUUAUAAGAGGCUUUCUUGGCCACCUAAGUGCUGGCGUGCACAACGUUGAAGAGGUCUUCCUUGACCACCUAAGUGCUGGCGUGCACACUGUUAUAAGAGGCUUUCUUGGCCACCUAAGUGCUGGCGUGCACACCGUUGAAGAGGUCUUCCUUGACCACCUAAGUGCUGGCGUGCACACUGUUAUAAGAGGCUUUCUUGGCCACCCAAGUGCUGGCGGGCACACUGAUGAAUAGGGCCUUCUUGGCCACCCAAGUGCUGGCAUGCACACUAAUGAAUAAGUCUUACUCGGCUAACUAAGUGCUGAUAAGCACACCAUUGAAAGGGUCAUGUAUAAGAGGGCAAUUAACUGACAUAAAGUAAUACCUAAGAGUAACUAAUAAGAUCACAUACGCUGGUGUUCAGCCAGAGUCAUUAAGAGAGAUAAGCUUACAUUCUGCAGGGUGAUGUGUCACCAAGUAGGUGGUAGUUGUAUCACCAAACAGUAGUUCAUUUAUGUUUCUUAAACUUACAGAUGGAGAAGUAAUCCGUAUCCAUGAGGUGAAAGGAAAGGUGUAAGGAAAGCCAUAUUGAGGAUCUGAUCACUGACAUAGGAACCUAUGAAUGGAGAAGUAAUCCGUAUCCAUGAGGUGAAAGGAAAGGUGUAAGGAAAGCCAUAUUGAGGAUCUGAUCACUGACAUAGGAACCUAUGAGUGAGUAAGAGUUACAUCCUAUCUACACAUACUGACUGGUAUUCGCGACGUCAGUCUAGUAUGUGUGCAUUCACAUCCCUACAAUAGAUUCAUAAUUCUUUGAUUAUAUACAUAAUUAUAGAUAGAUAUAUAUAAGUGUAAAAGAGUCGUCGCGA